Molecule: transfer RNA, 68 nt
Filed under: Blattella bisignata (double-striped cockroach)
Lineage: Eukaryota; Metazoa; Arthropoda; Insecta; Blattodea; Blattellidae
Description: tRNA-Tyr
Source: RNAcentral
AGUAGAAUGGCUGAGUAAAUAGGUGAUAGAUUGUAAAUCUAUUAAAGGGUUAAUUAACUCUUCUACUA